RNAcentral lists this ribosomal RNA (456 nucleotides) under uncultured Pedobacter sp. Its description in RNAcentral is "bacterial SSU rRNA". It matches the Rfam family "Bacterial small subunit ribosomal RNA", at positions 23 to 481 of the family's 1533-position model. The record is from RNAcentral. Lineage: Bacteria; Pseudomonadati; Bacteroidota; Sphingobacteriia; Sphingobacteriales; Sphingobacteriaceae.
CUCAGGAUGAACGCUAGCGGCAGGCCUAAUACAUGCAAGUCGAGGGGUAGAGUUAGCUUGCUAACUUGAGACCGGCGCACGGGUGCGUAACGCGUAUGCAACCUACCUUUAUCUGGGGGAUAGCCCGAAGAAAUUCGGAUUAACACCGCAUAAAAUCACAGUACGGCAUGAUACAAUGAUCAAAUAUUUAUAGGAUAAAGAUGGGCAUGCGUGUCAUUAGUUAGUUGGCGGGGUAACGGCCCACCAAGACCACGAUGACUAGGGGAUCUGAGAGGAUGACCCCCCACACUGGUACUGAGACACGGACCAGACUCCUACGGGAGGCAGCAGUAAGGAAUAUUGGUCAAUGGAGGCAACUCUGAACCAGCCAUGCCGCGUGCAGGAAGACGGCCCUCUGGGUUGUAAACUGCUUUUAUUCGGGAAUAAACCUACUUACGUGAAGUAGCUGAAGACCAA